UUAGGACGAACGCUGGCGGCGUGCUUCAUACAUGCAAGUCGAACGAGAAACUGACUUCGGUCAGUGGAAAGUGGCGGACGGGUGAGUAAAAUGUAGAGAAUCUGCCCCUAAGAGCGGGACAACAGAGGGAAACUUCUGCUAAUACCGCAUAUGAGCGUAGCUGAGAUGCUAUUCUUGAAAACUCCGGUGCUUAGGGAUGAGUCUGCAUCUGAUUAGCUAGUUGGCGGUGUAAUGGACCACCAAGGCGACGAUCAGUAGCUGGUUUGAGAGGAUGAUCAGCCACAAUGGGACUGAGACACGGCCCAUACUCCUACGGGAGGCAGCAGUAGGGAAUUUUGCGCAAUGGGCGAAAGCCUGACGCAAGCAACGCCGCGUGAUUGAUGAAGCCCUUCGGGGUGUAAAGAUCUGUCAGUGGGGACGAAAUUUGACGGUACCCACAGAGGAAGCACCGGCUAACUCCGUGCCAGCAGCCGC
Molecule: ribosomal RNA, 474 nt
Filed under: uncultured bacterium
Lineage: Bacteria
Description: bacterial SSU rRNA
Rfam family: Bacterial small subunit ribosomal RNA
Source: RNAcentral